Molecule: ribosomal RNA, 399 nt
Filed under: Triticum aestivum (bread wheat)
Lineage: Eukaryota; Viridiplantae; Streptophyta; Magnoliopsida; Poales; Poaceae
Description: partial small subunit ribosomal RNA
Source: RNAcentral
AUGGCGUCCCACUUCCCCUCGCUCGCCGGCCUCCUCGCCCCACGCCCGCUGCUCCUCUACGCGGCCACGUGGUCCGCCGUCGCCGCCAUGUCCGUGGCAGUGGCGGCUCUCGCGCCCGAGCUCGCCUACGUCUGGGGCGUCGCGCCGGGAGCGCCGCUCACCAAGGCAUGCCCCGAUGGCAGCUUCGCGGGCGGCAGCAUCGGGCUGCCGCUCGAUGGGCCGCCGUGGGACGCCGUCUGCGUGCCCGCCGGUCUCUUCGGCCGGACCGUGCCCGACGUGGUCGUCCCGCUUGUUUUCGCCGUCGUGGUCGUCGCCGGCGCCACCGCCUUCACCGCCGCCGUCGGCGUGUGGGAGGACGAUGAAGACGACAUCGAGAUCACCGAGGUGGGACAGGUGUAG